Oncorhynchus tshawytscha (Chinook salmon) is the source of this 401-nucleotide long non-coding RNA. The record is from Ensembl. Lineage: Eukaryota; Metazoa; Chordata; Actinopteri; Salmoniformes; Salmonidae.
UUGAAUGUUUGUUCAUUCGGCGUUGCAGGCUGAAGCGUAAAAGGCGAAAGAUGAGGCAGAGGUCCAAGUAGACUGGCCCAUUCCCCUACUGCUGUGAUUGUUUUUCUCCACCCACUCCAAGCCCUCUGAAGCCAGCGGUCCAUGAUUUGAAGAGCUGAACCAUGGUGGUCUGAAGCUGGCCUCGUUGGUGUGAAGGACAGAUUCUGCCUACCCAGCCCUCUACUCUGCCAAUGGCUCCUGGCCGUUGACUUCUGCUAGAAUCUCUCCUGUCAUUAAACUCUGGCCUUUUACCACCUGCACAGCUGUUGUAAAGACCAUAAUAAAUAUUUGGUUUACUAACUACAUUACAGUCUCUGUAAACAUUGAUUCAGGUUCAAAUCUUAUUUUAUUGAUCACACACA